AUUGAACGCUGGCGGCAGGCCUAACACAUGCAAGCCGAGCGGUAACAGGACUAGCUUGCUAGUUGCUGACAAGCGGCGGACGGGUGCGUAACACGUAGGAAUCUACCCAGUAGCGGGGGAUAGCCCGGAGAAAUCCGGAUUAAUACCGCAUACGCCCUACGGGGGAAAGCAGGGGAUCUUCGGGCCUUGCACUAUUGGAUGAGCCUGCGUCGGAUUAGCUUGUUGGUGAGGUAAAGGCUCACCAAGGCGACGAUCCGUAGCUGGUCUGAGAGGAUGAUCAGCCACACUGGGGCUGAGACACGGCCCAGACUCCUACGGGAGGCAGCAGUGGGGAAUAUUGCACAAUGGGCGAAAGCCUGAUGCAGCCAUGCCGCGUGUGUGAAGAAGGCUCUAGGGUUGUAAAGCACUUUCAGCGAGGAGGAAAGGUUGAUGAUUAAUACUCAUUAGCUGUGACGUUACUCGCAGAAGAGGCACCGGCUAACUCCGUGCCAGCAGCCGCGGUAAUACGGAGGGUGCAAGCGUUAAUCGGAAUUACUGGGCGUAAAGCGUGCGUAGGCGGCUUGCUAAGUUGGAUGUGAAAGCCCCGGGCUCAACCUGGGA
This 600-nucleotide ribosomal RNA is filed under the name uncultured bacterium. RNAcentral describes it as "bacterial SSU rRNA". It matches the Rfam family "Bacterial small subunit ribosomal RNA", at positions 28 to 619 of the family's 1533-position model. The record is from RNAcentral.